Molecule: ribosomal RNA, 1231 nt
Filed under: Convolutriloba hastifera
Lineage: Eukaryota; Metazoa; Xenacoelomorpha; Acoela; Convolutidae
Description: eukaryotic LSU rRNA
Rfam family: Eukaryotic large subunit ribosomal RNA
Source: RNAcentral
CAACUGAGAAUCCCUUAGUAAUGGCGAAUGAACAGGGAAAAGCUCAUCGGGAAGAGAAAUGGUAACAUUUCUCGGUGUCCGGUAUGGUUUGAUGCUAGACUAGUGAAAUUGUUCUGAUGUCUACUGGAAAGUAGCAUCAAAGAAGGUGAAAAUCCUGUAAAGAACUUUUUCUGUAACUAGUCAUAAUGGCUCAUUCCUAUGAGUAGAGUUGUUUGAAAGUGCAACUCGAAGCUGGAGAUAUGUCUCUCCAAAAGCUAAUUAUAAAGCGAGACCGAUAGUAAACAAGUACCGUGAGGGAAAGUUGAAAAGCACUCUGAAGAGAGAGUGAAAAGUACGUGAAACUGUUGAAGGGGAACUGGAGUGAGCGUUACCAUACUCAAUGCCUUGAUAAUAAAGUCUCGGCUACCGAGUAGUGUUGUUGUCGUCUUUUGGCAUGAUGUUAAAGGAUCAAGCAAAAGAUAUCUUCGGAUAACUUUCUGUUGAUUCUAAACAAAAUGAGAUAAAUCUAUCUUGAUUGCCUGUCUGACCUCAACUUCCUAUUCAAUGCUCUCUACAGCCCGUCUUGAAACACGGACCAAGGAGUGUGAGUUACUUGCAAGUGUUGUCGCUCAUUGAAAGCGCACACGCGAAAUGAAAGUGAAAAGUGUAACUUUUAUGAGUUGCACUACUUUGUGUGGUGAGGGCGCCGAGUCGGUGUCCCGCAACCACGGACGGUUUUGCUCAAAUUGCAUGACCGAUCUAGAGCAAGUAGCACACGACCCGAAAGAUGGUGAUCUAUGCUUGGGCAGGGCGAAGCCACGGGAAACCAUGGUGGAAGCCCGAAGCGGUUCUGACGUGCAAAUCGAUCGUCUGACCUGAGCAUAGGGGCGAAAGACUAAUCGAACCAUCUAGUAGCUGGUUUCCUCCGAAGUUUCCCUCAGGAUAGCAAAAGCUUGAGCAAGAUUGAAAAAUCUUCGCAAAGCAAUUUCAUCGGUUAAAGCGAAUGAUUAGAGGAAUGGGGGAAAAUUUUUCCUUCACCUAUUCUCAAACUAUAAAUCGGUGAGAUGUCCUUGUGACUUAAUUGCACUUGGACUAUGAAUGCAAGCUUUUUGUGGGCCGCUUUUGGUAAGCAGAACCGGCGAUGUGGGAUGAACCAAAAGUUGGGUUAAGGCGCCUAACUACUUGCUCAUGAGUCACCACAAAAGGUGUUGAUUGAUACUGACAGCAGGACGGUGGUCAUGGAAGUUGAAAU